GGAUAAUGACCUACCUUCGAACAUCAGUGUCUAUCGUCCAACAGCGCCCUCAUCAGUCAUAUGCAGUAGCUGCUCUUAUCUGGUCCUCAUUGAAGACUUGACUUUUUAUCAAGUCCAAGACAGGAUCACACAGCUUCCAACUGGAAACCGAACCGGGACUGCACAUAGCAUGACACUUGUGCUAACACUUCUAGCUUUCUAUCCAACCAGCUUCAUCGCAUGGUAGCUUGGAGGAGCCGGAUCCAACUGUUUCGUUCAACCUUCCAAGCUAGGCCCUCAGAGACAAGAAGUUUGGCAACUGUUAGGCGUUGCAGAAAGGAUAUUAAUUAUUUUGUG
This 336-nucleotide long non-coding RNA is filed under the name Populus tremula. Its description in RNAcentral is "long non-coding RNA (PTRE_LNC003283)". The record is from RNAcentral. Lineage: Eukaryota; Viridiplantae; Streptophyta; Magnoliopsida; Malpighiales; Salicaceae.